AACCUUAGUGGACUAUCAGAGAUUGUUUGUUUUAGACCAAGAGGUUAGGGGUUCGAAUCCCUUCGGGC
This 68-nucleotide transfer RNA is filed under the name Rhodococcus sp. PvP104. Its description in RNAcentral is "tRNA-OTHER". Lineage: Bacteria; Bacillati; Actinomycetota; Actinomycetes; Mycobacteriales; Nocardiaceae. The record is from RNAcentral.